CUAUUUCAAUUUAAACUUUAGUUCAUUAAACUGAAAUAACAUUUAAAAUUCAGCUCUGCAGUCAUGCUAACCACAUAUAUCAAGUGCUCAAAAGCCACAUGUGGUUAGUGACUACCAUAUUGGGCAGCACAGAUAUAAAACAUUUGUAUCAUCAUAGAAAGUUAUAUUUUCCAGUAUAUAAGACUAACUACUAAAAAAGGGAAAGGGAGUAGAAAAAAAUGGUCUUUAAAAAAAAAAAGAGGUCCAAAACCUAAGCAUCCACUGUAUACCUCUCUUGCAGCUUCCUGGAGCCUCAUUCAAACACAAUAAACAUUCAGUUGACUUGUUAUGAGACUCUAGGACUAAAUAACCAAUGUUGUUCCAUUAAAAGAUAGUAGCAGUACAUGAGCCAUGUCUUAUUAUUUUUGUAAUUAUUAUAAAUUUUUAAAUAAACUGAGAGCAACCCUUUUUGCAAAAGAUUGGUUGAUGGCCUCCUGUUUAUUCUGGGAAUCUGUUCUCCUGAUUUCUGGUGGGAUGAUUUUAGAUCUUGCUGGAAAGGAAUAGGAAAACAUCCUACUUCCCACUUCAAGCACUUUUAGGAUAUAUUUAUUUAUGAUCCUUAUUCUUUCCAUAAAUGUUCAACAUAGAUUGAAUGAUUUUUCUUAUUUUAGGAAUUUUCUUAGCAUAAGCAUUUGCUAAGGACCACCCCAAAUUUGGAUGUUAUUAUGGAACAGUAGAGAUUAUCUUAGUCAAGGCAAAGCAAGUAAUGAAAACCA
Molecule: long non-coding RNA, 755 nt
Filed under: Homo sapiens (human)
Lineage: Eukaryota; Metazoa; Chordata; Mammalia; Primates; Hominidae
Description: non-protein coding lnc-CBR1-8:1
Source: RNAcentral